GUGAGGAAUAUUGGUCAAUGGGCGAGAGCCUGAACCAGCCAAGUCGCGUGAAGGAAGAAGGAUCUAUGGUUCGUAAACUUCUUUUGCAGGGGAAUAAAGUGCAGGACGUGUCCUGUUUUGUAUGUACCCUGAGAAUAAGGAUCGGCUAACUCCGUGCCAGCAGCCGCGGUAAUACGGAGGAUCCGAGCGUUAUCCGGAUUUAUUGGGUUUAAAGGAUGCGUAGGUGGUUUGAUAAGUCAGCGGUGAAAGUUUGCAGCUUAACUGUAAAAAUGCCGUUGAAACUGUCGGACUUGAGUGUAAAUGAGGUAGGCGGAAUGCGUGGUGUAGCGGUGAAAUGCAUAGAUAUCACGCAGAACUCCGAUUGCGAAGGCAGCUUACUAAGCUACAACUGACACUGAAGCACGAAAGCGUGGGGAUCAAACAGGAUUAGAAACCCUAGUAGUCC
RNAcentral lists this ribosomal RNA (445 nucleotides) under uncultured bacterium. RNAcentral's name for it is "partial 16S ribosomal RNA". It matches the Rfam family "Bacterial small subunit ribosomal RNA", at positions 354 to 796 of the family's 1533-position model. The record is from RNAcentral.